This 265-nucleotide ribosomal RNA is filed under the name uncultured bacterium. Its description in RNAcentral is "partial 16S ribosomal RNA". It matches the Rfam family "Bacterial small subunit ribosomal RNA", at positions 793 to 1055 of the family's 1533-position model. The record is from RNAcentral.
GUCCACGCCGUAAACGAUGGAUGCUAGACGUAGUGGGUAUUGACCCCUGCUGUGUCGAAGCUAACGCGAUAAGCAUCCCGCCUGGGGAGUACGGCCGCAAGGUUAAAACUCAAAGGAAUUGACGGGGGCCCGCACAAGCGGUGGAGCAUGUGGUUCAAUUCGACGCAACGCGCAGAACCUUACCUGGGUUAAAUCCACCUGAAUCCUGCAGAGAUGCGGGAGUGCUCGCAAGAGAGCAGGUGAGAAGGUGCUGCAUGGCUGUCGU